AUGCCUUCAUUUUUCAUCAGCUCCUAUAGAAACACAUUCUUGAUACAUGUCUAUGUGAAGGUUCAGCCUUUCUCAACUUCUGAUGAGAAAAAGCAAUGGGAAAUUUUAAGUUAUUUGGCAAUUUACUUGCAGGAUGAUCCAUUACGUGUGUAUGUGCUGGUGAUCCUGGUAACUCAGCAAGGAAAUACAAAGUUAGCAGUUUUUGUUUCUUGCCAGAUGUGAAAUGUAAAAGGCAGACAGGGCACCAACGUCACUUUUGCCUGAGAGCUCCCCUAAAUUGUCUCUCCUCACAUGCUUUGGUGUGGGUAACAGGACAAACCAGAGGACAGUGAGAGGUCAGGCCCCUUGGUAAGUAGCCGGAUUUUUCAUUAGUUGAACUCUGGGUGAUCUUCAGAGUUGUAAAAUGGAGUGUGAUUGCAGCAAAUUAGCAGGGAAAUGUUGACAAGGGCGACUGGGUGUUUUGGACACUGGCGGAGCUGAGGCUGCAUAGUGCAGCUGUAAAAGUACACAGAAAUCUUCCCUGGUUUUAAUGGCAAGGCCUAAUUGAUUUUGAGGGACUUGGUUUUAGAUGUUUUGACAAGGAACAGAUUUAAUUGUUCUACAAAAGCUUUGGCAUAGCCAAAUGAAGACAGUUAAAUUUUAUUAAUUAAUUGCACAAUUCUGCAUUGUAUCUGAUUUUGAAACAUUCCAAGAGUCUUAAGCCUGGUGAUGAGAUUGUAUCCUCACAUGGAAUAUUGAACACCCCCUGCAUCACAUUUUAGACUCAAGUUCUCAGUGAUGGGAUGUAUCAUUCAGUUUAAAUCAGUGCUUUGUGAACUACUGUGGAGGGAAGAGAAUGAAUUUUUUUGAUAGGUAGCAUGUAUUUUUGAGAGUGCCCUCUGAUCUUUUUCAUUGAUGCACAGUUCAAUUUUUUCUAAUGGUUUUAAUUUCAUGUAGCUUGCCUUUCAAGUGCUAGAAUACUGAACCUCUGAGACCUCUGAGAAAAGUGUAGGAGUGAAUUUCUUGAUUGCAAUUCCUUGUAGUCUCUUUUCAGAUGGGUUUUUGUUAUCUGACAAUUCUUAAAAUUUGUGAUGAGAGGUUUGUUUCAGAGAUAAUUAGGGAGUGUGGAGGUCUAGUUCAAUUAAUGUUGGUAGAAUUUGGCAUGAAAGCCUUCUAAACAGCUUAGGAAAUCUCAGCCUAACAAUUCCUGUUCAUUCCAGAAAUGUUGGAAAACAUUAAAUGUGAUCUGAUUUUAGUAAUGCUGGAAAAUGGGAGCUAUAAGGGCUGAUGUUUGAGGAAUCCUUCCUUUUUCCCCCACAGGGCAUUGUGGACCACUGUGUAACAGGAAUGGUUCUCUCAGAACUGACUCAGGAAAUGGAUCUGGUAGGCAUGGUUUGUUUUUUCCUUCUGCAAGGGAUGCUGGUAAAGCCUUUUGUGAGAAAUAUUUCUUAGUCAUGAAAGGAUUAGAGCGCCUUUCUCCUCUGACAAAAAGACACAGGAAACUCAGUGCAGGGGCUCGUCCAGUACCACACACUUCAGUUCUGUCAUCUUGGUCACCAGAACUCGUAAAGCAAAGUGAACAACAAGUGGUAUUUAUGCUUAUGGCUUUCUUUUGCCUACUUCUUAAUCUCAGGAAGUUCUCAGGUCUGUCCAUCCAGAAAGAGGAACAACCCUGAAGGAAAGAAAUGAAGCAAGUCAGGAACCUGAUGAGACCUGCAUUUAGUGCUAGGCCAUAAUUUUAAUUUCUGCUGUCAAAUAAUUAAUCUGCCAAAUAUCCAUCUAGUUUUAGCAGGGAAGGAACACUGUUUAUUCUGUCCUUACUUUUCUUAGGUUGAUUAUUCAAGACCUUCAGCAAAGCCUUGUAAAAGAGUUUCCUCAUUUCGUGACACCUCUCUGAAGGACAUUCUGCUGCUUGUGUGCUCUUUUGAAGGAGGUGAGGCUUUUCAUUAUUGAACCUAAAUUGCUUGAAUAAUUGUCCCUUAAUUUUUUCUGACUUGAUGAAUUCUGUGCUUAAACGGAUUACAUGCUACUCAGUUAAGCUCCAGUGACUAAAAAAGGUUCAGACAAAAAUUCCAGUCUUCUUUCGUCCACGUCUCUCUUGCUGUCUCUCCACCUCUGCCAUCUCUCUGUCUUGCCAAGAAGGUUGGACUGCCUAAAUUCUGAGCUUGUCUUCUUUUUUCAUGUUUUUCUUAAUUUAAUUGUAUCUCAGUUUUGCUGGGCUCUACCAUCUCAGUAUUUGCUAAAAGAAUUGUUUUAUUGAGCUAAGAGUGACCAAGAGGAAAGACAAAUUCUUGUGGUAAGGAUGCAUCGUCAAAUCAGGACAAGGUGUUUUUCUCCUUGAGUAUUUCCCUCAUCCUCUCUGUAACAUUUUGGGGUAAUUAAGUCUGUCAUCUCCCCAGAGUAUUGGCAGGAGGGGGUGAAGGGCUUUCAUUUGUAUGUUCCACAAGUGUAAAUUUCAUUACUUGUGAAUUCUGGUUGCUGUUUUCUGCAGUACUUCCUUUACAUUAAUUAUUGCGGGUGAAGAAGUGCAGAGGAGCUGCUGGUCAACAAAUGGAAAUUAAGCCUUGUUUUUAGACUAGAGCUUGGAAUAAAAAAGAAGGCUCUAUAUUUUAAAAUGUGCA
Molecule: long non-coding RNA, 2600 nt
Filed under: Cyanistes caeruleus (blue tit)
Lineage: Eukaryota; Metazoa; Chordata; Aves; Passeriformes; Paridae
Description: lncRNA (ENSCCEG00000013458.1)
Source: RNAcentral